Molecule: ribosomal RNA, 253 nt
Filed under: uncultured bacterium
Lineage: Bacteria
Description: partial 16S ribosomal RNA
Rfam family: Bacterial small subunit ribosomal RNA
Source: RNAcentral
UACGUAGGGGGCGAGCGUUGUCCGGAAUUAUUGGGCGUAAAGCGCGCGCAGGUGGUUUCUUAAGUCUGAUGUGAAAGCCCACGGCUCAACCGUGGAGGGUCAUUGGAAACUGGGGAACUUGAGUGCAGGAGAGAAGAGUGGAAUUCCACGUGUAGCGGUGAAAUGCGUAGAGAUGUGGAGGAACACCAGUGGCGAAGGCGGGUCUCUGGGCCGAUACUGACGCUGAGGAGCGAAAGCGUGGGGAGCGAACAGG